GUGGGGAAUAUUGGACAAUGGGCGAAAGCCUGAUCCAGCCAUGCCGCGUGUGUGAAGAAGGUCUUCGGAUUGUAAAGCACUUUAAGUUGGGAGGAAGGGCAGUAAGUUAAUACCUUGCUGUUUUGACGUUACCGACAGAAUAAGCACCGGCUAACUUCGUGCCAGCAGCCGCGGUAAUACGAAGGGUGCAAGCGUCAAUCGGAAUUACUGGGCGUAAAGCGCGCGUAGGUGGUUUUGUAAGUUGGAGGUGAAAUCCCCGGGCUCAACCUGGGAACUGCCUCCAAAACUGCAUGACUAGAGUACGGUAGAGGGUAGUGGAAUUUCCUGUGUAGCGGUGAAAUGCGUAGAUAUAGGAAGGAACACCAGUGGCGAAGGCGACUACCUGGACUGAUACUGACACUGAGGUGCGAAAGCGUGGGGAGCAAACAGGAUUAGAUACCCCAGUAGUCC
This 450-nucleotide ribosomal RNA is filed under the name uncultured bacterium. RNAcentral's name for it is "partial 16S ribosomal RNA". It matches the Rfam family "Bacterial small subunit ribosomal RNA", at positions 354 to 796 of the family's 1533-position model. The record is from RNAcentral.